This 894-nucleotide ribosomal RNA is filed under the name Thyronectria cucurbitula. RNAcentral's name for it is "LSU rRNA". It matches the Rfam family "Eukaryotic large subunit ribosomal RNA", at positions 38 to 964 of the family's 3401-position model. The record is from RNAcentral. Lineage: Eukaryota; Fungi; Ascomycota; Sordariomycetes; Hypocreales; Nectriaceae.
GCAUAUCAAUAAGCGGAGGAAAAGAAACCAACAGGGAUUGCCCUAGUAACGGCGAGUGAAGCGGCAACAGCUCAAAUUUGAAAUCUGGCCCUCGUGGUCCGAGUUGUAAUUUGUAGAGGAUGCUUUUGGUGCGGUGCCUUCCGAGUUCCCUGGAACGGGACGCCAUAGAGGGUGAGAGCCCCGUCUGGUUGGACACCAAUCCUCUGUAAAGCUCCUUCGACGAGUCGAGUAGUUUGGGAAUGCUGCUCUAAAUGGGAGGUAAAUGUCUUCUAAAGCUAAAUACCGGCCAGAGACCGAUAGCGCACAAGUAGAGUGAUCGAAAGAUGAAAAGCACUUUGAAAAGAGGGUUAAAUAGUACGUGAAAUUGUUGAAAGGGAAGCGUUUGUGACCAGACUUGGGCUUGGUUAAUCAUCCAGCGUUCUCGCUGGUGCACUUUGCCAGCCCAGGCCAGCAUCAGUUCGCUGCGGGGGAUAAAAGCUUCGGGAACGUGGCUCUUCGGAGUGUUAUAGCCCGCUGCAUAAUACCCUGUGGCGGACUGAGGUUCGCGCAUCUGCAAGGAUGCUGGCGUAAUGGUCAUCAACGACCCGUCUUGAAACACGGACCAAGGAGUCGUCUUCGUAUGCGAGUGUUCGGGUGUCAAACCCCUACGCGUAAUGAAAGUGAACGGAGGUGGGAGCCUCGGCGCACCAUCGACCGAUCCUGAAGUUUACGGAUGGAUUUGAGUAAGAGCAUACGGGGCCGGACCCGAAAGAAGGUGAACUAUGCCUGUAUAGGGUGAAGCCAGAGGAAACUCUGGUGGAGGCUCGCAGCGGUUCUGACGUGCAAAUCGAUCGUCAAAUAUGGGCAUGGGGGGCGAAAGACUAAUCGAACCUUCUAGUAGCUGGUUUCCGCCGA